This 1098-nucleotide long non-coding RNA is filed under the name Durio zibethinus. RNAcentral's name for it is "long non-coding RNA (DZIB_LNC000810)". Lineage: Eukaryota; Viridiplantae; Streptophyta; Magnoliopsida; Malvales; Malvaceae. The record is from RNAcentral.
AUUUUUUUAAUAUAUUAAUGAUUAUCAAAAAGAAAAAAAUCAACUAACAUGUUUUUUAAGACUAAAAGGUUAUGUUUGAUAUUAAUGGCCGUCAUUAAAAAAAGAAAAAUAUCAUGGGCAGGAAAAGAAAUAAUAAAAAAAAAAAGCUAGUAAAAGUCUUUUCAUUUCUUUUUCACUUUUUUCUCUCUACUCUCUCAAUAACUAUCUAUUUCUCUUUGCGAAAUUUUGAAAAACAACGAAAAAAGGAAAGGCCUGGAUGAAUCGGGAAGCUUAGAGGGGAAGUGGACAGGAAAGAAAGAUGGGAGGGAAGGUAGAAAGAUUGGAAAGGAAGGGAAUGGGAAGAGGGUUUUUUGUGGCCCUGGAGUUUCCAGAUUUGUCGACGACUUCACAAAACUGUUUUUUUUUUUUUUUGUUUAAUUUUAAUUACAAAGUUUUUAAACUUUUUCUAUUAAAAUUUGAAACAUUUUUAAAAUAUUUAUGCUCAAAUCUAUUUUAGCUUUUACAGAUCAUAAGACACCGCAUCUAAAUUUUUUAGAAAAAUGAUUUGGCAAAAAAAUUAAAAAACAAUUAUUGUAAUUGCCGUUAGAUUUAGGUUGUUUAGGACCAUUUUUUUUGCAUAUUAAAAUUUUAUAUAUCUUUUCUCCUUUUUUUUUAUAUAUGUAUUUGGUGUUUAACAUCCUCAAUUUGUUUCAUUUCUUUUUUAUUUUUUCAGGUAUUAAGACGAUUUUGAGAUAAAUUAUUUUUUUUGGAGAAAUAAGAUCUAUGUAUUUGAAGUUUUAAAUUUCAAAGGUUUUGUUAUCUUUUUUUUUUUGUUGGGUAAUAUUUUGAAAAAAUAAGCACCACAGAAGAUUAGAUCUUUUUUUUUUAUGUUUAAAAAUGUCAGUUAUACCUGUAUUAAAAAAAAUAACGACGUUUUAAAAAAAAAUCGUUAAAUUUAAUGAUGUUUGAGUUAAAAACACUACUAAAUUUUGUAGUAAGAAACAUCACUAAAUUUUGAAUUUAAUGACGUUUGAACAAAAAAAAAAAAGCGCUUCUAAAUUUAAUGAAGCUUGUGUCACAAAAUAUCGUUAAAUGUUAAAUUUAGUAGUGCUUGAGUCA